This 730-nucleotide ribosomal RNA is filed under the name uncultured archaeon. Its description in RNAcentral is "bacterial SSU rRNA". It matches the Rfam family "Archaeal small subunit ribosomal RNA", at positions 52 to 782 of the family's 1478-position model. The record is from RNAcentral.
UGCUAGUCGCGCGGGUUGGACCCGCGGCGAACAGCUCAGUAACACGUGGCCAAACUACCCUGUGGAUCGGGACAACCUCGGGAAACUGAGGCUAACCCCGGAUACGGUACCCACGCUGGAAGACGCCGGGUAUCGGAAACGCUUCGGCGCCACAGGAUGUGGCUGCGGCCGAUUAGGUCGACGGUGGGGUAACGGCCCACCGUGCCGAUAAUCGGUACAGGUUGUGAGAGCAAGAGCCUGGAGACGGAAUCUGAGACAAGAUUCCGGGCCCUACGGGGCGCAGCAGGCGCGAAACCUUAACACUGCACGUCAGUGCGAUUAGGGGACUCCGAAUGCGAGGGCAUACCGUCCUCGCUUUUCCGCACGGUAAGGUCGUGCUGGAACAAGGGCUGGGCAAGACCGGUGCCAGCCGCCGCGGUAAUACCGGCAGCCCGAGUGAUGACCGCUAUUAUUGGGCCUAAAGCGUUCGUAGCCGGCCGGACAGGUCCAUCGGGAAAUCCACGUGCUCAACGCGUGGGCGCCCGGUGGAAACCAUCCGGCUUGGGGCCGGAAGACCCAGGGGGUACGUCCGGGGUAGGAGUGAAAUCCCGUAAUCCUGGACGGACCGCCGAUGGCGAAAGCACCCUGGGAAGACGGACCCGACGGUGAGGGACGAAAGCUGGGGUCUCGAACCGGAUUAGAUACCCGGGUAGUCCCAGCCGUAAACGAUGCCCGCUAGGUGUGGCUCCGG